AUACAGAGGGUGCAAGCGUUAAUCGGAAUUACUGGGCGUAAAGCGCGCGUAGGCGGCUACGUAAGUCGGAUGUGAAAGCCCCGGGCUUAACCUGGGAAUUGCAUUCGAAACUGCGUGACUAGAGUCUGAUAGAGGGAAGUGGAAUUUCCGGUGUAGCGGUGAAAUGCGUAGAUAUCGGAAGGAACAUCAGUGGCGAAGGCGACUUCCUGGGCCAAUACUGACGCUGAGGUGCGAAAGCGUGGGGAGCGAACAGGAUUAGAAACCCCAGUAGUCC
This 274-nucleotide ribosomal RNA is filed under the name uncultured bacterium. Its description in RNAcentral is "partial 16S ribosomal RNA". It matches the Rfam family "Bacterial small subunit ribosomal RNA", at positions 523 to 796 of the family's 1533-position model. The record is from RNAcentral.